UUCUUCAUCCAUUUUUAUGUCUGAAUUUUUAUGUCUGAACCCGUUGUACGGAUGUACUCCACUGUGUUUAUCCAUCUGCUGGUGGACACUUGAGUUCUGUCUUUCCUGCCACUGGCUUUUUUGAGACCCAAGAGUGUGUUUCUCCUUGAAGAUACAGGACACAUUUUCCUUGAUCAGGAUUCAAACUCUGUCCUGGGGACAUUUCAGGUCUGGAGGAGGGAGGGGCCGGGUGAGGCGGAACAGCUGUGGAUACGGAUGGAGCCUCACAGGUGGCCGGCCCACACCUGCCAGUGGCUAACACAGACUCUGGGUCAUUCCCUGCACUCCGACCUGGGCUAACUCCACACCCUCUCCGGAACUCAGUUUCCUCGCGAAUGCCUCCACGUGGACUGCUGCAAGGACCAAAUGAGAUGUGCAGGUAGAGCACUUUGCCCAGCGCCCGGUCCGUGAUGAGCACACAGCGCUGGGACGUCCUGCAGCUGGCACCUUCCACCCGGCACCAUCUGCGUCCCUCUGCCUGUGGCUUUCCUGGAAGCUCUGAUGGUGCCCAUGGCACAAUAGACAGGGACAUACAGCCACCCCUAUUCCAACAGCCUCCCGCCAACCACGUGUGAACACCAGCCCCCUCACACUUGGGUCUGGGUAUCCAGGUCUCAUCAGUUGCAUGCAGAAAAUGCUAAUUCUGUGGGCUGGCCCAGGGGGCUGACAACGGCACGCUCUGAAUCUGUGAUGAAGCCAUCCCGCCUUUGAUGGAAACAGAAGAUGAAACGUGGCUCAGCGCAUCCCGGGGAGACGGGGCCCGGCAUGCAAUAUUUAAACGGCCCUUUCAUGAAAGGGAGCUACCCAGGCUCUUAACAUCGGUGUUCAAGAAAGUCAGACUCGAUUUUUAGCCUCAGACUGAUGUUUGGGUGCACUUCGUGUUUUAAAUACUCAUUUCUGUGGCCUUGAUAUAUUAAUCCAUCUCCUUUCAAGUUU
Felis catus (domestic cat) is the source of this 975-nucleotide long non-coding RNA. RefSeq lists it as uncharacterized. The transcript has 2 exons. The record is from RefSeq and is a predicted model, not a curated record. NCBI's taxonomy places the organism in Eukaryota, Metazoa, Chordata, Mammalia, Carnivora, Felidae.